This 422-nucleotide ribosomal RNA is filed under the name Theileria sp. RNAcentral describes it as "SSU rRNA". It matches the Rfam family "Eukaryotic small subunit ribosomal RNA", at positions 461 to 923 of the family's 1831-position model. Lineage: Eukaryota; Apicomplexa; Aconoidasida; Piroplasmida; Theileriidae. The record is from RNAcentral.
GAGGUAGUGACAAGAAAUAACAAUACGGGGCUUAAUGUCUUGUAAUUGGAAUGAUGGGAAUUUAAACCUCUUCCAGAGUAUCAAUUGGAGGGCAAGUCUGGUGCCAGCAGCCGCGGUAAUUCCAGCUCCAAUAGCGUAUAUUAAAAUUGUUGCAGUUAAAAAGCUCGUAGUUGAAUUUCUGCUGCAUCGUCGCAUCUCUUGCUGAGUGCUUCGUUUCGGCUUAUUUCGGAUUGAUUUUUUCUUUCCGGAUGAUUACUUUGAGAAAAUUAGAGUGCUCAAAGCAGGCUUUUGCCUUGAAUAGUUUAGCAUGGAAUAAUAAAGUAGGACUUUGGUUCUAUUUUGUUGGUUUUAGGUACCAAAGUAAUGGUUAAUAGGAACAGUUGGGGGCAUUCGUAUUUAACUGUCAGAGGUGAAAUUCUUAG